This 492-nucleotide ribosomal RNA is filed under the name uncultured bacterium. RNAcentral's name for it is "partial 16S ribosomal RNA". It matches the Rfam family "Bacterial small subunit ribosomal RNA", at positions 29 to 507 of the family's 1533-position model. The record is from RNAcentral.
AGUGAACGCUGGCGGUGGGCCUAACACAUGCAAGUCGAACGGCAGCACAGUAAGAGCUUGCUCUUACGGGUGGCGAGUGGCGGACGGGUGAGGAAUACAUCGGAAUCUACUUUUUCGUGGGGGAUAACGUAGGGAAACUUACGCUAAUACCGCAUACGACCUACGGGUGAAAGCAGGGGAUCUUCGGACCUUGCGCGGUUGAAUGAGCCGAUGUCGGAUUAGCUAGUUGGCGGGGUAAAGGCCCACCAAGGCGACGAUCCGUAGCUGGUCUGAGAGGAUGAUCAGCCACACUGGAACUGAGACACGGUCCAGACUCCUACGGGAGGCAGCAGUGGGGAAUAUUGGACAAUGGGCGCAAGCCUGAUCCAGCCAUACCGCGUGGGUGAAGAAGGCCUUCGGGUUGUAAAGCCCUUUUGUUGGGAAAGAAAAGCAGCAGGUUAAUACCCCGCUGUUCUGACGGUACCCAAAGAAUAAGCACCGGCUAACUUCGUG